AUGGACAGAGAUGGUCAUGCGGUGUGUGAAAUCACCUCUUUCUCUGUUAAGUUGAAUGGUGGGCUCUCUCAUCGCUUCAACCCUUCCAGAGGACUUCGACAGGGUGAUCCCCUCUCCCCAUACCUCUUUCUAUUCUGUGUGGAAGGUUUCUCGGCGCUUUGGAAAUAUGCACAACAGGAGAAGAAGGUCAAGGGAUUGGCAUUCAGGGGUAGCGGACCAACGGUAACUCACCUCCUUUUCGCUGAUGAUAGUGUGGUUUUCGUGGAGGGCUCAUGGGAUAAUUUUGAGGCAUUACGCUCCAUCUUAAAAGAGUAUGAGGAUGCCUCGGGAAAGAAAGUCAACCUUCAUAAAUCC
Molecule: ribosomal RNA, 354 nt
Filed under: Triticum aestivum (bread wheat)
Lineage: Eukaryota; Viridiplantae; Streptophyta; Magnoliopsida; Poales; Poaceae
Description: partial small subunit ribosomal RNA
Source: RNAcentral